AAUGGACCAAAAGUCUGAUCCAGCAAUUCUGUGUGCACGAUGAAGUUUUUCGGAAUGUAAAGUGCUUUCAGUUGGGAAGAAGUCAGUGACGGUACCAACAGAAGAAGCGACGGCUAAAUACGUGCCAGCAGCCGCGGUAAUACGUAUGUCGCAAGCGUUAUCCGGAUUUAUUGGGCGUAAAGCGCGUCUAGGCGGCUUAGUAAGUCUGAUGUGAAAAUGCGGGGCUCAACCCCGUAUUGCGUUGGAAACUGCUAAACUAGAGUACUGGAGAGGUAGGCGGAACUACAAGUGUAGAGGUGAAAUUCGUAGAUAUUUGUAGGAAUGCCGAUGGGGAAGCCAGCCUACUGGACAGAUACUGACGCUAAAGCGCGAAAGCGUGGGUAGCAAA
RNAcentral lists this ribosomal RNA (388 nucleotides) under uncultured bacterium. Its description in RNAcentral is "bacterial SSU rRNA". It matches the Rfam family "Bacterial small subunit ribosomal RNA", at positions 370 to 772 of the family's 1533-position model. The record is from RNAcentral.